Zophobas morio is the source of this 1137-nucleotide long non-coding RNA. RefSeq lists it as uncharacterized. NCBI's taxonomy places the organism in Eukaryota, Metazoa, Arthropoda, Insecta, Coleoptera, Tenebrionidae. The transcript is spliced from 8 exons. The record is from RefSeq and is a predicted model, not a curated record.
UUUCCACUUAACUCUUUUUGCGGACUUCUCAGCAAGAUAAGGUGGGUAUAAAUCUAACAAAGAAAAAAAAAGUGGCAAAAUUGUUUGUUUUUAACCAUGCAAGUUUACUUUUUAGCAACACCUCGAAUUUUGUCUUUUUUUGAACUUCUUAAAAAAGAUGUUAACAUUUCGACUUCUGAUUCUUUUUGCACACCCCCUGCUGAAGUCUCCGGAACUACUGUUGCUGAAGUCUAUUCUAACUUGCAAACCUUUCUGGAACAUUUUUCAAAAAAGUUUUCAGAAGUUGAGUGUUUAAGUAACACCGUUGACGUUGAAGAUCAAAAAAUUUUAACUCUAGGUUUUAAUACACGAGCUAUACAUUACUCCCCAUUAAUAUCUAAGGAUAUAAUAAUAAUAAGCAAUAAACCAUGUCCAAAGGUUGCAGUCUCUUUUGAGUUGUUAAAGUACUGUUGGCUUUGUGCUAAAGCUCUAAACUUAACUAAUUAUUAUCUUUUUGAGUUGCUUCUGCAAAGUGAAAUUUACGAACCUCCUUCCUUUGAAACGAGCAGUUCUGGCUCCGACGAAGACAAACUACGUCUUUUAAGAAGAACUAACGAAGAGGUUUUCACUUGGCUAUCGACAAAGAAUAUCAAAGAAUGACGAGAAACGUCAACGUUAACCUAAUUGGUAAACAACAUCUUAUGGACUUUCAAGAUUUAAAAACCGCCAAACAACAAUUAUUUUUCGUAGUCAACCUCCUCGUUACCGGUUUUGGUGUGUUCUACUUCCUCUUUUACGCAAGUAAUGAUCUACUAAACUACCCGCUGGAGAUAGAUAUAAAACUGGUUGCCCCUUCGCUUUACAAGUGAGCAGCUACACAGUGAAUUAACAAAUUAUUUGAUAAUAAAUGACUCUGUGCUCUUGAAACAAGUAUUUAUCGAGCCACAAAGCGAUCUGGACUAAAGAGUCAUAAUGCGCGUCGACAGAGUCAAUCGGAUGUGAAUCUUCGGGGUACCAGAAGGAACACUUCGGGCCAAAAGUGCAUAAUAAAGCUGCAGGCCUUGUGAAGGAAGAAGUUACGGAAGAACCGAGUGUAAAGAGAGUCGGAGUAGUCACGCACGAGAGAUCAUUAGCAACAGGAGAAUUUUUAUAAAGGAG